This 2001-nucleotide long non-coding RNA is filed under the name Zostera marina. RNAcentral describes it as "long non-coding RNA (ZMAR_LNC003950)". Lineage: Eukaryota; Viridiplantae; Streptophyta; Magnoliopsida; Alismatales; Zosteraceae. The record is from RNAcentral.
GUCAUUAUAAAUUACUAUAGUGUUCGGAUAGUUGGACGUAACCGAAACUUCAGAAACCGAGGAAGAUUCGGUUUCACAGUCAAAGGAAGGACCUUGCUUGGUAGCAUUCGCGUCUGAACAAUUCGAACCACAUGAAUAUUGAAAAUCGAGUGGAUAUUUCACACCUCCCGUAGCCGGUGCUCUUUUAUCUCGUCAGGGACCAAAGAACUUUAGUGGAAGAUCCAUCAUCGGGGGCCACCUAGAUGGUUGCUUCACUCUCAUUACGAUUGGCGGAUGAUGAGAGCUCGAUGAACCUACCGCCCGUGGCACAUACACUGGAUCUGGCUGAAAUGGAGGUAAAACCGGUACUGUUGCAGGUACGACUGGAACUUGAGGGCGUACUUCCGGAACACGUACCGGAAAUGGAGGUCUGCGCGGUAUCUGUUUUUCUCUCCUUCCCAUUAUGCUAUUUUAAAUAUCAAACAAUUUAUUUAAAUUAUACAUUCAAAAAAUUAACUAAACAAUAAUUAAGUAAUGCAUUUAAAAAAUUAGAUUAAUAAACUAAAAUGAUAAUUAAAAUCAGAAAUUACGUACUUCGAAUUUUUGGUGAAAUGAAGAUCAAGUUUCCCUUGUAUAAGCUUGUUUAGCACCAACACAUGUGAGUUUGGAAUAAACUAUAUCAAAUUACAGCUUGAUUUAAUUAGCCAAUAAUUGAAUUAAUUAUUCAAUUUAAAAAAAAAAAUCCAUGACCUAUUUGCUUUUAAUGAUAAUUGAAAUCAAAUCACACAAUUCAAUUUGUAACAUAUAAAACAACUAAAAUCAUUGAAAUAUAAAAUAUAAACGUGAGGAUGUCAUCAGAUCAAGGAUGUAGAAAGAAAAAGGGGGGAAAAGAGAACUAACUAAUAAAGAGAAGUAAUUAAUCUGUAUCAUUGCAUUUCUUUGUUGUAUGUGAUAAAAAUCCAAAAUCAAUCAUUCUUAAUGUUCGAUGCAGUGACUACGAGUAAGGAGUCAACAACACAUGCUCUCUCCGACAGAUGCUUCCAAGAAAAGAAAAAAAGUUUUUUUUUAAUGUGAGUCUGUCUGUAAUUGACCCAAAAAAACAGCAAUAAAAAUAUAUGAAAAUUGAAAACAGAAUCGUUUCAUUUUUUUGUUUGGUAGAAACAUUUCUAUGUUCAUGUUGUUUGCUUUUUUAUUUUUUAAAGAAUUUUUGUUGGGUAAAUGGUAGAUUGGUAGAGAUGACAACUCUGUCAAAAUCUAUCAAGUAGCAACAGAGCAGAUCAUUGGUGGGUUUAUCCCUAUAUUAUAUAUAAAUAGAACAGAUUAAUAGAUUACAGAAGAAGAAGAAAACACAGAUAAUGGUGUUUUAUUCUGGAGUGAUUGAAUCUUAUAAUGAGGUUAGGUCAUUCACAGAUGUACCCCACAAGCCAUACAUGACACAUGACGAUUCAAUUGGAAGACUCUAUCAGACUUGCUGUAAAUUAUAAUGUAACUUGCUUGCCCAAAAUAACAAUAAAAUCCAGAGUGUCUUUCACGUGGGGAGCACAAAAUCCAAAUAAAAUCCAAGUAGGAUCGAUAAUAAACAAAAGAACAGAGAGGAAACUGGAAAAAAAGAUGUGGGUGAGUAAGGAAAGGAACAUUGGACAAUCUCAGGACAUAACAAUAACAAUAAACUGGAAGAAAUAACAGGAUGAGAGUGACAGUGGAUGAAGAAAAUAACAGUGGAUAAUCUCAUUUUGAAAAUAAAUUCUCUAAAUCAAAGAACAUAAAAAUAAACCAGAGGAUGUCAUAGAACUCACCGGAGGAGGUUUUUUAAUUCACCAAGUCCUCAUUGCCCUCACUGCGGAUGAAGAAAUUGAUCACUGUUCUCACUGCGCCCGCUGGAAGAUGAAGAACUUGUGCUCGUCGGAAGAUAAAGAAGUCGUGGUCGCCGAUGCCGGAAUGGAAUGCAAGAAAUAGGAACGAUUGGGUUUGGGUUUAGAAGAUAUUGAAAAUCGGGAGGUUUAGGGAUAAGGAAUUCAUUUU